GUUUCUGUAGUGUAGUGGUUAUCAUGUUUGCCUAACAUGCAAAAGGUCCCCAGUUCGAAACUGGGCGGAAACA
This 73-nucleotide transfer RNA is filed under the name Danionella translucida. It matches the Rfam family "tRNA". Rfam says of the family: Transfer RNA (tRNA) molecules are approximately 80 nucleotides in length. RNAcentral also lists the same sequence under 1 other name. Lineage: Eukaryota; Metazoa; Chordata; Actinopteri; Cypriniformes; Danionidae. The record is from Rfam by way of RNAcentral.